AUUCCAUGAUGAGGGCACUUUUGUAACAGUUCUUUAAAUCUUUCCCAUGCCUCACACAAGGACUUGUCAUCCAUCUGUUGGAAAAUAGUAAUUUCAUUUUGCAACU
Gossypium hirsutum (cotton) is the source of this 106-nucleotide non-coding RNA. The record is from Rfam. NCBI's taxonomy places the organism in Eukaryota, Viridiplantae, Streptophyta, Magnoliopsida, Malvales, Malvaceae.